AUUGAACGCUGGCGGCAUGCCUUACACAUGCAAGUCGAACGGCAGCACGGGAGCAAUCCUGGUGGCGAGUGGCGAACGGGUGAGUAAUAUAUCGGAACGUGCCCAGUCGUGGGGAUAACGUAGCGAAAGCUACGCUAAUACCGCAUACGAUCUACGGAUGAAAGCGGGGGAUCGCAAGACCUCGCGCGAUUGGAGCGGCCGAUAUCAGAUUAGGUAGUUGGUGAGGUAAAGGCUCACCAAGCCGACGAUCUGUAGCUGGUCUGAGAGGACGACCAGCCACACUGGGACUGAGACACGGCCCAGACUCCUACGGGAGGCAGCAGUGGGGAAUUUUGGACAAUGGGCACAAGCCUGAUCCAGCAAUGCCGCGUGCAGGAUG
Molecule: ribosomal RNA, 379 nt
Filed under: uncultured bacterium
Lineage: Bacteria
Description: bacterial SSU rRNA
Rfam family: Bacterial small subunit ribosomal RNA
Source: RNAcentral